UGGUCCGGCCGGGCCUUUCCCUCUGUGGAACCCCAUGCCCUUCACUGGGUGUGGCGGGGAAACAGGACUUUUACUGUGAAAAAAUUAGAGUGCUCCAGGCAGGCCUAUGCUCGAAUACAUUAGCAUGGAAUAAUAGAAUAGGACGUGUGGUUCUAUUUUGUUGGUUUCUAGGACCGCCGUAAUGAUUAAUAGGGACAGUCGGGGGCAUCAGUAUUCAAUUGUCAGAGGUGAAAUUCUUGGAUUUAUUGAAGACUAACUACUGCGAAAGCAUUUGCCAAGGAUGUUUUCAUUAAUCAGGAACGAAAGUUAGGGGAUCGAAGACGAUCAGAUACCGUCGUAGUCUUAACCAUAAACUAUGCCGACUAGGGAUCGGACGGUGUUAUAUUUUGACCCGUUCGGCACCUUACGAGAAAUCAAAGUGCUUGGGCUCCAGGGGGAGUAUGGUCGCAAGGCUGAAACUUAAAGAAAUUGACGAG
RNAcentral lists this ribosomal RNA (476 nucleotides) under Nectriaceae sp. RNAcentral's name for it is "SSU rRNA". It matches the Rfam family "Eukaryotic small subunit ribosomal RNA", at positions 679 to 1160 of the family's 1831-position model. Lineage: Eukaryota; Fungi; Ascomycota; Sordariomycetes; Hypocreales; Nectriaceae. The record is from RNAcentral.